Cheilinus undulatus (humphead wrasse) is the source of this 694-nucleotide long non-coding RNA. RefSeq lists it as uncharacterized. Lineage: Eukaryota; Metazoa; Chordata; Actinopteri; Labriformes; Labridae. The transcript has 7 exons. The record is from RefSeq and is a predicted model, not a curated record.
ACAAACGCGACUAAGCUGUCUUUCACCGGCUUGAGGGCACAUGAGGAGCCGCUUCGGAUGAAGAGCAGGAUGGAUUUUGGGAGCCUUUGGCUGGAGAGCGACCCAAAGUUGGGCUGUUUCUGUUGGACAGGAUGGACAUCAUUGUGGCAUGUCAAGGACAUAGUGAACCAGAUUGUCAUGUUGCAGAGAAGUGAUGACCCAUCUGCAUUUCAUGGGCCUUUGGACCUCCGCCAUGUUGCUGAUAAGCCUGGUUGUCUUGCAGCCAGUCAGACAAGGACCUGGACUGAGAGAGGGAGCAGGACUUGCUACACCCUCAGUAUCCACUAUGCCCCCAAGUACCUGAACCUCAGGAUUAAUGUCACCAUGGCAUGCAGAGGACAUAGUGAAUUACUCUUAUCAUGUGGUGGAAAAGUGAUGACCUAUUUGCAUUACAUGGACCUUUGGACCUCCAUCUUGUUGCUGUGAUGAGCAUGAUUGCCUUGCAGUUGGACAAAGACCUGGCCUGAUAGAGGGAGCAAACCGUCUCUACUAUUGUGGAUGGACAUCAUUGUUGCAUGUCAAGGACAUAGCAAACCAGAUUGUCAUGUUGCAGAGAUGUGAUGACACAUUUCAUGGACCUUUGGGCCUCCUCCAUGUUACUGGGAUGAGCAUAAUUGCCUUGCAGGGACCAGGACUAAUUUACACCCUCACUAAC